CACCUGUCAUUUUUCAAAAGUUAUCAGAUUUAGCUUCAGGAGCUGACUUUUCUUUUGUAUCACUGCUGUUAGUGCGCCGUGGUUACUUAAGUUAGUGUAGGUCGAGAUUACACUCGUGCGGAGGGGCCGAAUUUGUUUUUACAGCAGAGUUAGACUGUUUUGUACAGUCGGGUGCCGUCGGGUUCGACGGUGGAUCUAGAUUAUUACAUCUUGUGUCAGAUUAUGCCGAUGGCACAUGAGCCUUAGUU
RNAcentral lists this long non-coding RNA (248 nucleotides) under Ananas comosus (pineapple). RNAcentral's name for it is "long non-coding RNA (ACOM_LNC031363)". The record is from RNAcentral. Lineage: Eukaryota; Viridiplantae; Streptophyta; Magnoliopsida; Poales; Bromeliaceae.